This 2912-nucleotide ribosomal RNA is filed under the name bovine gut metagenome. RNAcentral's name for it is "Bacterial large subunit ribosomal RNA". It matches the Rfam family "Bacterial large subunit ribosomal RNA". The record is from RNAcentral.
UUAAGUUAUUAAGAGUUUAUGGAGGAUACCUUGGGACUAAAUGGCGAAGAAGGUCGUACGAAUCUGCGAAAAGCUACGGGGAGCUGAUAAGAAGCAUUAAUCCGUAGAUCACCGAAUGAGGCAACUCAAUUAAUAGUAAUAUUAAUUAUUUUGAUGAUGAAAAAAUAGUUAUCAAAAAGCGAAACGUCGUGAAGUGAAUCAUCUCAGUAACGAUAGGAAAAGAAAACAAAAUGAUUCCCUUAGUAGUGGCGAGCGAACCGGGAAUAGGCCAAACCAUGUUUGACAUGGGGUUAUAGGACUUCAAUGUGGAAGUAAGUAAAAUAGUAGAAAUUGUUGGAAAGCAAUAUCAUAGAAGGUGAAAAUCCUGUAUACGAAAUUUUGCUUAUACCUAGAAGUAUCCUGAGUAAAGUGGAGCACGUGAAAUUCUGCUUGAAUUUGCCCAAACCAUUGGGUAAGCCUAAAUACAAGUUAGUCACCGAUAGCGAACAAGUACCGUGAGGGAAAGGUGAAAAGAACCCAGUGAUGGGAGUGAAAUAGAUCAUGAAACCAUAAACUUACAAAGAGUCAGAGCACAUUAAUGUGUGAUGGCGUGCGUUUUGAAGUAUGAGCCGGCGAGUUAUUAUUGCAGGCAAGGUUAAAUUGUCGAAAUGGAGCCGUAGGGAAACCGAGUCUGAAAAGGGCGUUUAGUCUGUAGUAAUAGACCCGAAACGGGUUGAUCUAUUCAUGAGCAAGUUGAAGUAUGAGUAACAUCAUAUGGAGGACUGCACCCACUUUCGUUGAAACGACAGGGGAUGACUUGUGAAUAGCGGAGAAAUUCCAAUCGAAAUCCGUGAUAGCUGGUUCUCGUCGAUAUAAUUGUAGGAUUAGCGUUAAAUUAUGUUUAAAUGGAGGUAAAGCUCUGAAUACAUGAUGGCACCAGCCUGGUGUACUGAAUGUAAUUAAACUGCAAAUGCCAUUUAAAUUACUUUAGCAGUUAGACGGUGGGGGAUAAGCUUCAUCGUCGUGAGGGAAAGAGCCCAGAUCAUCAGCUAAGGUCCCAAAUAUAUGUUAAGUGGAAAACGAAGUUAGAUAUCUUAAACAUCAAGGAUGUUGGCUUAGAAGCAGCCAUCAUUUAAAGAGUGCGUAACAGCUCACUUGCCGAGAUAUCUUGCGCGGAAGAUUCAACGGGGCUAAACAUGUAACCGAAGCUAUGGAAUUAUGAAUUUUGUUCAUAAGUUGGUAGACGAGUGUUGUAUUUAGUUUGAAGGUAGAGUGGAAGCACUACUGGACCGAAUACAAGUAAGAAUGCCGGCGUGAGUAACGAAUGAAAGUGAGAAUCUUUCAAGCCGAAUUGACUAAGAUUUCCAGGACAAGGUUCGUCCAUCCUGGGUUAGUCGGACCCUAAGGUGAGACUGAAAAGUGUAGCCGAUGGAGAAAAUGUUAAUAUUCAUUUACUAAUGAAAAAUAUGAAGGAAUGACCAAGGAGGUUAGUGUGACCAAAUUAUUGGAUUUUUGGGAAAAUAUCAAGUUGGAUAACCAAGCAAAUCUAGUUAUCAUUAACAAUGAGAUAUGAUGACAAGCGAACGUUACGACAAGUAGCGAAGUCACAUGCAAUCAUACUUGCAAGAAAAGUUUCUAGUGCUAAUUUUUUCAUUACCCGUAUUGAGAACGAACACACGUGGUCAAGGAGAAUAUCCUAAGGCUAGCGAGAAAACUAUUGUUAAGGAACUCUGCAAAAUAACCCUGUAAGUUAGCGAUAAAGGGUGCCUAUUUUAACCGAUAGGCCACAGUAAAGAGCGAGGAGGGACUGUUUAACAAAAACACAGCUUUAUGCUAAGUCGUAAGACGAUGUAUAUGAGGUGACACCUGCCCAGUGCUGGAAGGUUAAGGAAUUGAGUUAGAGUCAAAUCAAAGCUUGAAACCGAAGCCCUAGUGAACGGCGGCCGUAACUAUAACGGUCCUAAGGUAGCAAAAUUCCUUGUCGGGUAAAUUCCGUCCCGCUUGAAUGGUGUAACCACUUCUUGACUGUCUCGACAAUAGACUCGGUGAAAUCCUGAUAUGAGUGCAGACACUCAUUAGGCGUGAUUGGACGGAAAGACCCCAUGAAGCUUUACUGUAACUUGGUAUUGAAAAAUUAAUUUAUUUUUAGAGCAUAGGUGGGAGACGUUGAACCAUUGCCGCUAGGUGAUGGGGAGUCAACCAGUGUAAUACCACCAUUAUGAUUUAAUUUUUCUAACCCAUGACGCUUAUCGCGUUAGGGGACAGUGCUAGGCGGGCAGUUUGACUGGGGCGGUCGCCUCCCAAAAAGUAACGGAGGCGCGCAACGGUACCCUCAACACGGUUGGAAAUCGUGUUUCGAGCGUAAUGGUAUAAGGGUGCUUGACUGUGAGACCUACAAGUCGAACAGGUAAGAAAUUAGGUCAUAGUGACCCGGUGGUUCUGCAUGGAAAGGCCAUCGCUAAACGGAUAAAAGCUACUCUGGGGAUAACAGGCUGAUACUGCCCAAGAGUUCAUAUCGACGGCAGUGUUUGGCACCUCGAUGUCGACUCAUCUUAUCCUGGAGCUGUAGCAGGUUCCAAGGGUUCGGCUGUUCGCCGAUUAAAAAGAUACGUGAGUUGGGUUCAAACCGUCGUGAGACAGGUUGGUCCCUAUCUGUCAUGCCCGUAGGAAGAUUGCGAAGAACUGCUCCUAGUACGAGAGGAUCGGAGUGGAGAUACCUCUGAUGUUCCAGUUGUCAUGCCCAUGGCACCGCUGGGUAGUCACGUAUCGAAUGGAUAAAUGCUGAAAGCAUAUAAGCAUGAAACCAGCUUCUAGAUUAAUCUUCCCUACCCGCAAGGGUAAUAAGAAUCGUUAUAGACGAUGACGUUGAUAGGUCAAAAGUGGAAGUGGAGUAAUCCAUUAAGCUAAUUGAUACUAAUCAUUCGAAAGACUUA